RNAcentral lists this long non-coding RNA (270 nucleotides) under Nicotiana benthamiana. RNAcentral's name for it is "long non-coding RNA (NBEN_LNC019477)". The record is from RNAcentral. Lineage: Eukaryota; Viridiplantae; Streptophyta; Magnoliopsida; Solanales; Solanaceae.
UCUUUGUUGUUCAAGUGUUAGACAUCUGCCACUUCUCAUAAUACUAGAAUCCACACAGGGUAGUUCAAUCACAGAAUCUCCCAUUAGAGAUUGGAAUACCUUCAAGAAUUCCAUUUCUACAGCAAUAGGCUCAGUCAAUUUGAUACAUGUAUCAGUAUGAAUAGAAGUGAUAUUGUUUUGCCCUGUCCUGAUCCUCCAUUGUGCAUAAAAAUACUUGGUGUUUGCAUCUCCACAUUCAAUCCAAGUAGCUUUGGAUUUUUGCCUCAGUAC